GGAUAGAAGACCUGGGCCCGUUCUCAGCACUUUAUCACCCUUGGGAUUGGCGGCACGCACCUGUCUUCACAGAAGGUGAGAGGGAAGACUGGAGCUGAACUCCUUCCAGGAACAGACGCUGAGGACCACAUCAUGGUAGCCCUGAGAGAAACGGACGCCAGGGAGGCCUUCAAACCUAAGAGGGCAGAGCUCUGAACAGGCCGUGGCAAGUGCAAAAGACCUGGGACCUUAGGGAUCGUGGGACACUGGAGGACUUCUUCCUCUCGUGCCUGGAUCAGAAGGGCUCAUACUGAGGUGCGAAUGGUUGCCAGACAAAUCAGAUUCAUCCGGGUCCAGUACGGCGAGGGAAGCUGAGGCCCUGUGUGACUUCCGGCGAAGUGGUUCUGCUGCCCUCUGGUGGUGACCGUGGCUACCUGGUCCCCAUAGAGCCUCCACCAGUUCCUCCAGGGGUCAGCGCCUGAACACAGCUCGUUCGUCAUUAGUCAGCCAUUCCCUGGCCACCUCCUCCGG
Molecule: long non-coding RNA, 510 nt
Organism: Microtus oregoni (creeping vole)
Lineage: Eukaryota; Metazoa; Chordata; Mammalia; Rodentia; Cricetidae
Exons: 3
Source: RefSeq, a predicted model, not a curated record